GAGCUAGCCUGAAGGAGCUCGUCUCGGUGGUAGAUGAGCGAAAGGUGAAAGAAAAGAUGGUGUUCUAUAUCCACGAGAUCAGAUCCGCAGACAUGACUGCUACUCUGAAGGUAGCAAGCCUGCCCGAAAACACAGCUCCUCUCCAGUGGGGGUCCAUCCUCGUCUUCGACAACGAGGUGCGAGAGGGUGAGGGCACGGACAGCAAGCUAAUAGCUCGGGAGCGAGGAUGGGGAUGCAUCACUGACAAAGACAGUGCUGACGGCUUGCAGCUAUUCUCUAAAAUCACUUUCACCGAUGGGAAAUACGAGGGCUCCAGUUUGACCUUCAGUGGCAAUGUUGGUGGGGCUGCUACACCUUACGAGCUCAUUAUUCUUGGCGGCACGGGACACUUUCGAGGUGCUCAUGGCUUCGUGUUGGCUGACAACUGCCCCAACCAGGGCAACCUCUUCAUCUUCCAGUGGAACGUCUUCGUCACGAAGGACAACGUUGGCCUGCUGUAGAUUUUUACAUUCGACGGCUGCUUUAAGUCUGCACCAACUAGCUUCCUGCACAUGCAG
Molecule: long non-coding RNA, 557 nt
Filed under: Physcomitrium patens
Lineage: Eukaryota; Viridiplantae; Streptophyta; Bryopsida; Funariales; Funariaceae
Description: long non-coding RNA (PPAT_LNC008408)
Source: RNAcentral